Long non-coding RNA from Bos taurus (domestic cattle), 1392 nucleotides. The record is from Ensembl. NCBI's taxonomy places the organism in Eukaryota, Metazoa, Chordata, Mammalia, Artiodactyla, Bovidae.
GCCUCAGAUGGAAGGGAAGGGCAGGCACCCUCUUGAUAAUAAGGCAGCAGUUUAAGAAAGGGUUAAUUGUUGAGACUGGAGGGUUUAUUUGAAGGGGAAGGAGUUGGAGGAUGGGGAUACUGGAGGUGAUGUGGUCAUACAUUUAGAGCAUGGGCACUGAGAAUGAUCCUUGAGAGCUCAUCCAGACCAGAAAUUUAAAAAUGAUGCCUGAAGGAAUCCAUUCUAUCACCUUACUGCCUACUUUGGGGUCAGGACAAGAGACGGGGAGAGUAAUGUUUGAAAAGCUGGUUGGACACUCCGAGCCCCUUGCCUUUGGGAUGUGAAUUUGAGACUUGGUCUUCCUGUUCUCAAACUCCAGUGGCGUCACAGUGCUUGACCGUCUAUUCACUGAAAACAACAAACUUGGUCUGUAACAAAGGGACUCACAGGAGAGGAUCAGAGAGGUGGCACCAUGAUGAAGACUUGGUCCAACGAGGCUGGCUUUGAAGACAGAGAAAAGGGGAACGUAAGCCAAGGAAUAUGGGCAGCCUCUAGAAAUCGGAAAAGACAAACAUCUUCCACGAGGCCCUGCUGACACCUGAGUUUUAGCCCCAUGAGAACCAUUUCAGGCUUUUGACCUCCAGAACUAUAAGAUAAUAAAUUUACGUCAUUCUAAGCCACUGAGUUUGUUACAGCACCAGUAGGAAAUGAAUAAAUUAUUCAUGAUAACUCUUUAUUGAACUUCUGUCAUAUUUCAGGCACUGUGUUAAGUGUUUCACAUUUAUUACUUAAUACAUAUAAUAGUUCUAUAAAGCAGGGGUUCUUGUUCCCAUUUUCUAAAUUUAGAAAAUGGGACUCAGGGAAAUUUAGUGACUUGGCCAAGGUCACACAGCUAGUGUGUAGCAGAGCAAAGAUUCAAAGGCUAACACCUCUAGCUCUAAAUGCCAUGUACCAUCAGCUUGUCCAGGCUCACCUCUGCUUAUCUGGAGUGGCUUAGAGAGUACCUCCUCAGGGAAUCUUUGUUUUCAGAUGCCAGACCUCAGUGAUCUAGGCCAGGGGUCCCCAGCCUCUGGUCCCCAGUACCUCCUGUCGGAUCAGUAACAGCAUUAGCUUAAAGUGCAGUAUAAAAGUAACGUGCGUGAAUCACCCUGAAACCACCCCCACCACUUCCCAGUCUGUGAAAAAAUCGUCUUCCACGAAACCGGUCCACUAGGCCAAAAAGGCUGGGGACCACAGUUCCAGGCCGCCUCUUCAGUAUUUUGAGUCCAACUGUUCUCUCAGAGGCUUAGUUUCUUGUAAAAAGAGGGUCAUAAUGCUCAUUGGGUGCUCUUCUGGGCUAUGGCAAGAUUUAAACCAGAAUGUGGGUGGUAAAAUUCUCUGAACUGUUAAGUGUUCUCCAUGUAAGUAAUUCAG